UUAAAUGGCUGCAGUAAUUUGACUGUACAAAGGUAGCAUAAUCAUUAGUUUUUUAAUUAAAAGCUUGAAUGAAAGGUUGGACGAAGUAAAAUCUGUCUCUUUGUAAUAAAAUUAGAAUUUAAUUUUUAAGUUAAAAAGCUUAAAUUUUUAUAAAAGACGAGAAGACCCUAUAGAGUUUAAUAAUUUUUUAAAAAAUAAUUAAUUUAGAUUUAUUACUUUUAUUUUUUAGAAAUUAUUUUAUUGGGGUAAUAAUAAGAUUUAAAUAAUUCUUUUUUUUUAACCAUUAAUUUAUGAAAUAUAUGAUCCAUUAUUUUUAUGAUUAUAAG
Molecule: ribosomal RNA, 326 nt
Filed under: Aphaenops elegans
Lineage: Eukaryota; Metazoa; Arthropoda; Insecta; Coleoptera; Carabidae
Description: Hydraphaenops elegans partial 16S ribosomal RNA
Source: RNAcentral